This 86-nucleotide transfer RNA is filed under the name candidate division WWE3 bacterium. RNAcentral describes it as "tRNA-Leu". It matches the Rfam family "tRNA". Rfam says of the family: Transfer RNA (tRNA) molecules are approximately 80 nucleotides in length. Their secondary structure includes four short double-helical elements and three loops (D, anti-codon, and T loops). Further hydrogen bonds mediate the characteristic L-shaped molecular structure. tRNAs have two regions of fundamental functional importance: the anti-codon, which is responsible for specific mRNA codon recognition, and the 3' end, to which the tRNAs corresponding amino acid is attached (by aminoacyl-tRNA synthetases). tRNAs cope with the degeneracy of the genetic code in two manners: having more than one tRNA (with a specific anti-codon) for a particular amino acid; and 'wobble' base-pairing, i.e. permitting non-standard base-pairing at the 3rd anti-codon position. Lineage: Bacteria; candidate division WWE3. The record is from RNAcentral.
GCCAGAGUGGUGGAACGGUAGACACGCAGUCUUCAGGAGGCUGUAUCCGCAAGGGUGUGAGGGUUCAAAUCCCUCCUCUGGCACCA